UAAAAAUUAGUUAAUAUAUAACAUAAGUUUGUCAAACUUAAAUAAUCUUGCGAUAUUUUUAU
This 62-nucleotide transfer RNA is filed under the name Astacopsis gouldi. RNAcentral describes it as "tRNA-Asp". The record is from RNAcentral. Lineage: Eukaryota; Metazoa; Arthropoda; Malacostraca; Decapoda; Parastacidae.